RNAcentral lists this transfer RNA (75 nucleotides) under Chloroflexus sp. RNAcentral describes it as "tRNA-Met". It matches the Rfam family "tRNA". Rfam says of the family: Transfer RNA (tRNA) molecules are approximately 80 nucleotides in length. Their secondary structure includes four short double-helical elements and three loops (D, anti-codon, and T loops). The record is from RNAcentral. Lineage: Bacteria; Bacillati; Chloroflexota; Chloroflexia; Chloroflexales; Chloroflexaceae.
CGCGGCGUGGAGCAGUGGCGGCUCGUCGGGCUCAUAACCCGAAGGUCGCAGGUUCGAAUCCUGCCGCCGCUACCA